This 854-nucleotide ribosomal RNA is filed under the name Ceraceosorus guamensis. Its description in RNAcentral is "bacterial SSU rRNA". The stretch from base 1 to 342 matches the Rfam family "Eukaryotic small subunit ribosomal RNA", at positions 1496 to 1831 of the family's 1831-position model. The record is from RNAcentral. Lineage: Eukaryota; Fungi; Basidiomycota; Exobasidiomycetes; Ceraceosorales; Ceraceosoraceae.
CGCUACACUGACCGAGGCAACGAGUGUAUCACCUGGCCCGAGAGGGAUUCUGGGUAAUCUUGUGAAACUCGGUCGUGCUGGGGAUAGAGCAUUGGAAUUGUUGCUCUUCAACGAGGAAUUCCUAGUAAGCGCAAGUCAUCAGCUUGCGUUGAUUACGUCCCUGCCCUUUGUACACACCGCCUGUCGCUACUACCGACUAGGUCAGUUAGUGAGCACUCGGGACUGGCGAACGGGGGCUGGCAACGGCCGUCCGAUUGCUGGAAACUUGUGCAAACUUGCUGGCCCGGAGGAAGUAAAAGUCAUAACAAGGUUUCUGUAGGUGAACCUGCAGAAGGAUCAGAGUAGUUUUUGAUGGUGGCAGGUACGCCUGCCGCCGCCAGCUCCCUAUCCACACACACACCAGUGAAGGGGUGAACAGCCCGCAACACACACACACACGCACGCAGUGAACGUAUGCAUAUCGUCGGACACACACGACACAAAAAAAACACAAUCGUUGACAACGGAUCUCUUGGUUCUCCCAUCGAUGAAGAACGCAACGAAAUGCGAUAAGUAAUGUGAAUUGCAGAAUGGACGUGAAUCAUCGAAUCUUUGAACGCACCUUGCGCUCGCUGGUAUUCCGGCGAGCAUGCCUGUUUGAGUAUCGCGCAUUCUCGUGGGGUAGUGGUUGUUGAUGCAACUUCUACGUCGCGGUGCCUGGGCGCAUGUCUUGCUUACGUCAGACUCGCCUGAAAUGCAUGAGCACGUGUGUAGCGCCACUUCGCACCGUUUAGGUAAUUCCGAGAGCGGAGGCGAGGAGCGCAAUACGCACACAGCUUCGAAUGGGUGCCUCUGUGCACCACACUACCGAACGC